GAUUUAUUUACCAGAGGUAUCAGGUUACCUGGCAACCCAGUACAGUUUACAGUAUCAGGCCCGGCCUCUCUCUGCCCUUCUCAACGGGCAGGUACUGAGACACAGUGGGCAGCCAGGCCAAAGACUGAGGAAUCAGUGACCGUCUGGAAUCAUCGGGAGAGACUGGACACAGGGCCACUGCAUCACAUCCUACUUGCAAACAAAGGAAUGCUUAAAUCGUCCAUCAGACAUAAAAAUGCCAGCUCUCAGAAGCCAUUCCAGUGCAGGUAAAUGCUUCUGUCCUAGCUGAGACUGCAUGGUAAGGGCAAUGGAGCUCUUUCUCUGCAUGCAGUAUUGUCUCCUUGAACAAGAAAAUAUGGCAUUCAAAUCUAUUACUGUUUUAACUGUUAAAAGCAUCUAAACAUGAGAAAGAGCAAGCAUUUUAUCUUCAGAAUUGCAUUCCAAAAAGAAGGAAGCAUGAAUAUUUGUCAGAAGUCUUUCAUUACAAUUUUUUUAUCACCAAGGUUCUGAUAAUCUGUACCUUGUUAGAAUUCUGUUGUUCAUAUACAACAAGAAAUCAUGAAAGAAAUUUUAACAUAAGUCAGGUUUAGCAGAUUGCGCUGUGCAUUUGAGAUAUAACUGUAUAAUUCCGUUGCACAUAAGGGUGAUCAGUAGGCAUAAAAAGUGUCUCAUACAAUAAAAAGUGAAUCACUACUUGUACUUGUCAGUGGUUAUUUCACUCCUGGGUGUCAGAGUACAGCCCUUGUGUGACAGAGUGUGAUCACCAAGAAGGUUAAAAAUUGUUGCUGAGAGAAAAAGAACAUCAGUUUUAACUGUAUUGAUUUAAUUUCAUUAAAGAUUCUGAAAACUUUAUAAAGGUAAAA
RNAcentral lists this long non-coding RNA (863 nucleotides) under Lepisosteus oculatus (spotted gar). Its description in RNAcentral is "lncRNA (ENSLOCG00000021064.1)". The record is from RNAcentral. Lineage: Eukaryota; Metazoa; Chordata; Actinopteri; Semionotiformes; Lepisosteidae.